UUGAGUCGGGUCGAAACCAGCUUCAAUCCAUCCUCACUCGAACCUCUAUCCAUUCGGGGGCUAAUGAUGAUGACAUGUACCUAGGGUAGGGUCCUAGACAUGACCUACAUGCCCUACCCAAGGACACUACACAAGAGGCCAAGUCCUACAAAGUUAGAAAGGAGAUACCGAUUGAAAUCACCACAGAGUGCAACUUACUCGACAGAAGAUCCACUCGGGUAUCCCACUUCCACUCGACUGUCGUUAUUCACUCGGAGUACAAGAUUUCACUCGAAGGACAGAAGACCUAGAGCCACCCCAGGAUGGCAACGGUCGGGCAAUCACUUCGUCACCGUAAAGACCAGUAAACACGGGCGUUUCCAGUGACGUUCAUGCCUUUAUUCUCUCGUUAGACCCUUGCGUAACUGAGGACAGCGAGGGGUCAACGGACUGUAUAUAAGCCACCCCUCCCCUCUUGCACAAGGGUUCGCACCCCUUGUAACUCAACACUCCAAUAGAAACAAAGCCUCCGCGGCACCGAGACGUAGGGCUGUUACCUCCUCCGAGAGGGGCCUGAACUCGUAAAUCCGAGUGUACAAUCUCGUCGUAGCUAGGCUCUGCCCUCUCCUACAUACCCCCUACCUCUACUAUCAGAUCCGUUCCCACGACAGUGGUCUCAUCAUUCUGGGAGAGAAGCUACCUGGGAGCGAGAAGAUCGCCUUCGAUUGGAGUACCCCACUCUCGUUCCAACGCCUCCUGAAUCUCGGGACGAGAUUCUUUCGAGUGGGGGCGAGUUGUCACAUCCCUAGUUCUUGUAAUGUCCAGUGCUAGCAUCUGGUGUUGCAUCAUGUUUAAAUUUCAAUCAAACAUGAAAUGGGGAAUGGGCAAACCCUAGCACCUCUUUAAUCUUCAUAGGUUCAAAUAAAAAUAUUUACAAAGAACCCAAAAUGCCUUCCAGAAAAUUUCAUGAUUUUUGAUAAAGGUGAAAACCUCUUCCAAAAAUGAUGAAUGUAUUUCUAGGUCAUUUUUUAUUUUUGAAUUAACACAAAAGUAUUUGAAUUAGAGCCAUUUAAAUUCUAUAUAUAUUUUAAAUGGUCCAAAUAUUCUGAAAUUAGUUGUUGUGCUCUGGAAUAAUUCAGUAUGUAUCCACAAAAGUUUUCAGAAUUUAUCAAAAUGAUUUAGUGCCAAAACUAAAUCAGAACAGAGAAAACAAAAUAGAAAAAUAAAACAGAAAAAGGCUUACCUGGCCUUACCUGGCGGCCCACCUAAGCUGGCCCAACCCACUGGUUCUGCCUGUCAUCCCCGACCUCGCGCCAGGAGGACAAGGGCGUGUAUCGAGAGCGCGCGGCCACGCGCCGGCCAACUCCACCCUGCCAGUUUCACCCCCGACAGCCUAGACGUCCCUGGAGAUGCCACGCAAACCCUGGCCUCUCUCCCACCCUCUCCCGUGCCUCCCCCCUCUGCUCUCUCUCUCCCCCGGAUCCGGACGCACCCGAGACCGCCGACGAGCACCGCCGCGGCCACAGCCGUCCCUGCGCCUUCCCGUACUAUCCCCGUCGUCCGCCUCGACGUCGUGAAGCUUCCCACUCAACAAGCGCAAGCCCGGAUGCCCUACACCGCCGACUACGCCAUCAUCCUCGUCCUCUGCAUCAGAAGACCGCCAUCGUCGAUUCGCCGUCUCCGCCACCUCCCCGUGCCAGCUGAGCUCCGCUUCGACCCCGCGAGGAGACUCUGGUCUCACUAGUAGUUCCACUUGGACUUAGACAAGUAGCUUGUAUCCCAGCUAUCUUGUACCCUUGGGAGGGUCUUGUAGAUAGUCAGGUUUCUCAGCCUUUUUCAUUUGUAGUUGUCUGUACUCAGACAAGAUAUGCUUCCGUUGCUUGUAUGCUCUGUAUGAAGGGUCAUGUGACCCGUUGCUUGUAAUAAAUGUUAUGUUGGCUCUUCUGGGCCUUUAUCUAUAUUAGUUGUUGAGUUAGGUUGUGA
Aegilops tauschii subsp. strangulata is the source of this 1962-nucleotide long non-coding RNA. RefSeq lists it as uncharacterized. Lineage: Eukaryota; Viridiplantae; Streptophyta; Magnoliopsida; Poales; Poaceae. The record is from RefSeq and is a predicted model, not a curated record.